UACGUAGGUGGCAAGCGUUACCCGGAAUUAUUGGGCGUAAAGAGCGCGCAGGUGGUUGAUUAAGUCUGAUGUGAAAGCCCACGGCUUAACCGUGGAGGGUCAUUGGAAACUGGUCGACUUGAGUGCAGAAGAGGGAAGUGGAAUUCCAUGUGUAGCGGUGAAAUGCGUAGAGAUAUGGAGGAACACCAGUGGCGAAGGCGGCUUCCUGGUCUGUAACUGACACUGAGGCGCGAAAGCGUGGGGAGCAAACAGGAUUAGAUACCCCGGUAGU
RNAcentral lists this ribosomal RNA (271 nucleotides) under uncultured prokaryote. RNAcentral's name for it is "partial 16S ribosomal RNA". It matches the Rfam family "Bacterial small subunit ribosomal RNA", at positions 524 to 794 of the family's 1533-position model. The record is from RNAcentral.